This is an RNA transcript of Populus euphratica (Euphrates poplar), 1770 nucleotides long. It is a transcript of the gene named sugar transporter ERD6-like 3, with no coding region annotated. The record is from RefSeq and is a predicted model, not a curated record. NCBI's taxonomy places the organism in Eukaryota, Viridiplantae, Streptophyta, Magnoliopsida, Malpighiales, Salicaceae. The transcript is spliced from 19 exons.
UGUUUUCUCUACCCCCUCCUUUCUAUAGCUAAACUUUAACUUAAUAUUCUCUUUUUUCUGUUUCCGAGGUUAGCACUUCAGCCUGUCUUGUCUACCCUUCCUUGUGUUUGAGCUUCCAACAAACUGAAGUAAUGGAGGGGGACGGCAUAGAAGAAGGGCUGGAAUCAGCAACAAGCCCUCUACUUCUCGGAGAUAAGAGCAUCGGCAAUACAACAACCAGCAACCAGCACUCCAUCACUCCCGUUCUUGUCUUCAGCACCUUUGUUGCUCUCUGUGGUUCCCUCAGCUAUGGAUGUUCUGUGGGUUACUCAUCGCCUGCUGAGUCUGGAAUAAGGGAAGAUUUAGGCCUCUCUGUUGCAGCAUACUCUGUUUUUGGUUCGAUAGUGACAAUAGGAGGGAUGAUAGGUGCAAUUUUAAGUGGGGAGAUGGCAGAUCUCGUCGGUCGAAGAGGAACGAUGUGGACAUGCCAGAUAAUUUGCAUGGCAGGCUGGCUUGCAAUAGCAUUUGCUAAGAAAGCUUGGUGUCUGGACAUUGGAAGAUUCUUAGUCGGAGUUGCAAUUGGGAUUCUUACUUACGUGGUGCCUGUAUAUAUUUCAGAAAUUACUCCUAAGAAUCUCAGGGGACGAUUUACCUCAGCCAGUCAGUUGUUAGUAUAUUGUGGCUUUGCAGUGACGUAUUUUGUUGGAAGUAUUGCAAGCUGGCGUGUCUUGUCUCUUUUAGCUACUAUUCCAAGCUUAGUGCAAAUUGUAUGUUUAUUUUUCGUCCCGGAGUCUCCAAGAUGGCUGGCAAAACUCGGCCGUGAAAAGGAGUUUGAAGCUUCUUUGCAACGUCUUAGGGGAACAAAUUCAGAUAUUUCUGAAGAAGCAGUUGAUAUCAGAGAUGCUAUAGAAAUUUUGAAACAGACCUCAGCUGAAACUAGAACCUUAGAGUUGUUCCAGAGGAGAUAUGCUUAUGCAGUUAUUGUUGGAGUAGGGCUGAUAUUUCUACAAACAUUUGGAGGAAGUAUUGCAGUGUCAUAUUAUCUUGGCACCAUAUUUGCUAAAGCUAAUGUUUCAACCUCUUCUGGACCUAUAAUUUUUGCUCUUUUACAGAUUCCAACAUCUGUUGCAACUGUACUCUUAAUGGAUUUAUUUGGAAGACGGACACUUCUUAUGGUUUCAGCAACCACAUCAUGCUUAUGCGUGUUCCUUGUAGGAUUAUCGUUUUGCUUGCAGGAAUCCCACAACCUGAAAGAGCUCACCCCAAUAUUGACUUUGGUUGGCAUAUUGGGUUUUGGCUGCGGUUUUGCCAUAGGCAUGUCAGGAAUACCUUGGGUUAUAAUGGCAGAGAUAUUUCCUCUAAAUGUUAAGGCAUUAGCAGGAAGCCUCGUGGUUUUAACCAGCUGGGCUAGUUCUUGGGUUGUGACAUACACAUUUAAUUUUAUGCUGGAGUGGAGUUCAGCUGGGACAUUCUUCAUCUUCAGUGGAAUGUGUGCUUUAACUAUUUUAUUCGUGUGGAAGUUGGUGCCAGAGACGAAGGGAAGAACAUUAGAAGAAAUACAAUCAACAUUAAUCACUCAGAUCCCUGGACAAAACUCGGUGAUAGCGAAAACAUAAAGAUGGUGUUUAGCUUAACGACACUGUUUUAAUGAGUAUAUUAAUUUUUUCUUUGAUUUUCUUAAUGAACAUGAAUUUAUGCAACAAUUUUCUUUUAAGAUUAUUGUAUGUUUUUAAUUUAUGGUUUUAAAAUGAAUAGUGAAUUACAUACAAUAAAUUGGUGGAAUUAUGAGCA